GGCUCUUACACUCUUUCUGCCUCCUCUUCAACAAGUGAACCCUGAGGGAAGGGAUUAACGGAGACAACAGCUUUUGAGCUGAGUGUUUGAAGUUUCCUAUCAGAAUCUCAGAAGACAAGGUACCUAGAAACUCAAGAGGGUCUUGAACAAUCAACACAGACCCUUUAGGAGGGUAGUACCAAGAAGGCUCUUCAGGGCUGGAGAGAUGGCUCCGCCAUUGAAGGCUAGGCUCACAACCAAAAAUAUAAGAAGGCUCUUCAGGGACAAAACUGAAGGAACUAAUUAAUAUGUAAAUAAACUUAUCU
Mastomys coucha (southern multimammate mouse) is the source of this 305-nucleotide long non-coding RNA. RefSeq lists it as uncharacterized. The transcript is spliced from 2 exons. NCBI's taxonomy places the organism in Eukaryota, Metazoa, Chordata, Mammalia, Rodentia, Muridae. The record is from RefSeq and is a predicted model, not a curated record.